UCUUCUUCUUCUUCUUCUUCCUUCAUAUUUGAGAUUCCUUUUCCUUCUUUCCCAGAAAUUUUAUCCAUUUCUUUCCCUUCUAUUUUUUCUUCUCAACAGAACCCUAUUCUUCUUUUUCAUCCAUUCUCCUUGAAAUUCCAAGAAUUACUUGAAAUAAAAUCUCUUCUUCAGUUUUUCCAUUUCUAUCUCUUUCUAUCUCUUCUUCUUCUG
RNAcentral lists this unclassified non-coding RNA (210 nucleotides) under Hevea brasiliensis (rubber tree). The record is from RNAcentral. Lineage: Eukaryota; Viridiplantae; Streptophyta; Magnoliopsida; Malpighiales; Euphorbiaceae.